UACGAAGGGGGCUAGCGUUGCUCGGAAUCACUGGGCGUAAAGCGCACGUAGGCGGCUUCUUAAGUCAGGGGUGAAAUCCUGGAGCUCAACUCCAGAACUACCUUUGAUACUGGGGAGCUCGAGUCCGGGAGAGGUGAGUGGAACUGCGAGUGUAGAGGUGAAAUUCGUAGAUAUUCGCAAGAACACCAGUGGCGAAGGCGGCUCACUGGUCCGGUACUGACGCUGAGGUGCGAAAGCGUGGGGAGCAAACAGG
This 253-nucleotide ribosomal RNA is filed under the name uncultured bacterium. RNAcentral describes it as "partial 16S ribosomal RNA". It matches the Rfam family "Bacterial small subunit ribosomal RNA", at positions 524 to 776 of the family's 1533-position model. The record is from RNAcentral.